UACGUAGGGUGCAAGCGUUGUCCGGAAUUAUUGGGCGUAAAGAGCUCGUAGGCGGUUCGUCGCGUCGGCUGUGAAAUCCCGAGGCUCAACCUCGGGUCUGCAGUCGAUACGGGCGGACUGGAGUACUGCAGGGGAGACUGGAAUUCCUGGUGUAGCGGUGAAAUGCGCAGAUAUCAGGAGGAACACCGAUGGCGAAGGCAGGUCUCUGGGCAUUAACUGACGCUGAGGAGCGAAAGCAUGGGGAGCGAACAGG
RNAcentral lists this ribosomal RNA (253 nucleotides) under uncultured bacterium. RNAcentral's name for it is "partial 16S ribosomal RNA". It matches the Rfam family "Bacterial small subunit ribosomal RNA", at positions 524 to 776 of the family's 1533-position model. The record is from RNAcentral.